Molecule: unclassified non-coding RNA, 373 nt
Filed under: uncultured Gammaproteobacteria bacterium
Lineage: Bacteria; Pseudomonadati; Pseudomonadota; Gammaproteobacteria
Description: contains 16S-23S intergenic spacer region
Source: RNAcentral
UCCGGUUUGUCACCGGCAGUCUCCUUAGAGUGCCCUUGCGUAGCAACUAAGGACAAGGGUUGCGCUCGUUGCGGGACUUAACCCAACACCUCACGGCACGAGCUGACGACAGCCAUGCAGCAUCUGUGCACGCUCUCUUGCGAGUCCCUUCGCUUACGCGUUGGUACCACGUGCAUGUCAAGCCGAGGUAAGGUUCUGCGCGUUGCAUCGAAUUAAUCCACAUCAUCCACCGCUUGUGCGGGUCCCCGUCAAUUCCUUUGAGUUUUAAUCUUGCGACCGUACUCCCCAGGCGGUCGACUUCACGCGUUAGCUGCGGUACUAAGGAAGUCUCCUUCCCCAACACCUAGUCGACAUCGUUUACGGCUAGGACUAC